This is a long non-coding RNA of Gossypium arboreum, 180 nucleotides long. RefSeq lists it as uncharacterized. The transcript has 3 exons. NCBI's taxonomy places the organism in Eukaryota, Viridiplantae, Streptophyta, Magnoliopsida, Malvales, Malvaceae. The record is from RefSeq and is a predicted model, not a curated record.
AUUUGAUAUGUCCAUCACCGAAACACCAUGGCAAGGAGAACCAAGGUUCGGCCAUGCUUUAAUUUGUGCAUGCUCAAGGAGUUAAAGAAGGAGAAUCAAGCAAGGGAAAGACGAAGGUCAUCGAGUAGCCGACUUGGAACUAUUUUACCCAACACGAGGUCUCUUGGACUCGUAUUGUUG